CCCUUAGAUGUUCUGGGCCGCACGCGCGCUACACUGACGAAGUCAGCGAGCAUGUCCUACGCCGACAGGUGCGGGGAAUCUUGUCAAACUUCGUCGUGAUGGGGAUUGAUUAUUGAAAUUCUUGAUCAUCAACGAGGAAUUCCUAGUAAGCGCAAGCCAGCAGCUUGCGUUGAUUACGUCCCUGCCCUUUGUACACACCGCCCGUCGCUACUACCGAUUGAAUGGUUUAGUGAGAUCUUCGGAUUGGUGCCACUGCGGCUCAGCAAUGGGCUCGGUGGAUGCCGAAAAGUUGAUCAAACUUGAUCAUUUAGAGGAAGUAAAAGUCGUAACA
Molecule: ribosomal RNA, 331 nt
Filed under: uncultured eukaryote
Lineage: Eukaryota
Description: partial 18S ribosomal RNA
Rfam family: Eukaryotic small subunit ribosomal RNA
Source: RNAcentral